AAUCAAGUGCCUUAAGGGUGUUCGGUGGAUGCCUUGGCGCUGAGAGGCGAUGAAGGACGUGCUACGCUGCGAUAAGCCGUGGGGAGCUGCGAAGAAGCUUUGAUCCAUGGAUUUCCGAAUGGGGAAACCCACCUUCGAUAGCCGGAACUCCAAGACCUUUGUCGAAAGACAUUGGUGUGGGGUUCGAUCAGAAAUGAGAGAUGCCUAGGCCUUUAGAUUUCGAUCGAAGAGGUUUUGGAUUUCCGGUUAUCAAGAGAAGGUAUGAGACUUCUGAAUACAUAGGAGGUUUCAAGCAAACCCAGGGAACUGAAACAUCUAAGUACCUGGAGGAAAGGACAUCAACAGAGACUCCGUUAGUAGUGGCGAGCGAACGCGGACCAGGCCAGUGAUACAUCAAAGACAAUCGGAACCGGUCAGGAAAGCCGGGCCUUAGAGGGUGAUAGCCCCGUACGAGUAAUGCGAUGAUGUAUCCACGAGUAAGGCGGGACACGUGAAAUCCUGUCUGAACGCGGGGGGACCACCCUCCAAGCCUAAGUACUCCUCAGCGACCGAUAGUGAACCAGUACCGUGAGGGAAAGGUGAAAAGCACCCCGACGAGGGGAGUGAAAUAGACCUGAAACCGGACACCUACAAACAGAUGGAGCCCAAGAUACGUUCUGGGUGACAUCGUACCUUUUGUAUUAUGGGCCAGCGACUUAAUUUAACGAGCAAGCUUAAGCCGAUAGGCGAAGGCGUAGCGAAAGCGAGUCUGAAUAGGGCGUCAAGUUCGUUGUAUUAGACCCGAAACCUAGUGAUCUAGCCAUGAGCAGGUUGAAGGUGAGGUAACACUCACUGGAGGACCGAACGGGUGUCUGUUGAAAAAGACUCCGAUGACUUGUGGUUAGGGGUGAAAGGCCAAUCAAACUGGGAAAUAGCUGGUUCUCCGCGAAAGAUAUUUAGGUAUCGCCUCGGAUGAAUACCUCAGGGGGUAGAGCACUGGAUGGGCUAGGGGGACUUACCGUCUUACCAAACCCAACCAAACUCCGAAUACCUGAGAGUACUAUCCGGGAGUCACACGGCGGGUGCUAACGUCCGUCGUGGAGAGGGAAACAACCCGGACCUACAGCUAAGGCCCCUAAUUCGUGGCUAAGUGGGAAAGGAUGUGGAAAUCCCAAAACAACCAGGAGGUUGGCUUAGAAGCAGCCAUCCUUUAAAGAAAGCGUAACAGCUCACUGGUCUAAAUAAGGGUUUCUGCGCCGAAGAUGUAACGGGGCUCAAGCCACGAGCCGAAGCUUAGGGUGUGAUCCGCAAGGGUCACGCGGUAGCGGAGCGUUCUGUAAGCCUGCGAAGGGCGACUCGUGAGAGCGCCUGGAGGUAUCAGAAGUGCGAAUGCUGGCAUGAGUAACGACAAACACUGUGAAAGACAGUGUCGCCGAAAGUCCAAGGGUUCCUGCGUAAAGUUAAUCUUCGCAGGGUUAGCCGGUCCCUAAGGCGAGGCCGAAAGGCGUAGUCGAUGGGAAUGCAGUGAAUAUUCUGCAGCCAGUGGAUGGUGACGAAUCCCGUGUGUUGUCCGACCUUAAUGGAUUGGUUGGGCUUCGAAGGGGUUCCAGGAAAUAGCCUCCACAUUAGACCGUACCCGAAACCGACACAGGUGGACUGGUAGAGUAUACCAAGGCGCUUGAGAGAACUAUGUUGAAGGAACUCGGCAAUUUACCUCCGUAACUUCGGGAUAAGGAGGCCCAUUGCUCGCGCAAGCGGGCAGUGGGGGCACAGACCAGGGGGUGGCAACUGUUUAACAAAAACACAGGGCUCUGCGAAAUCGCAAGAUGACGUAUAGGGUCUGACGCCUGCCCGGUGCCGGAAGGUUAAGAGGAGAGGUGCAAGCCUUGAAUCGAAGCCCCGGUAAACGGCGGCCGUAACUAUAACGGUCCUAAGGUAGCGAAAUUCCUUGUCGGGUAAGUUCCGACCUGCACGAAUGGCGUAAUGACUUCCCCGCUGUCUCCAACAUAGACUCAGUGAAAUUGAAUUCCCCGUGAAGAUGCGGGGUUCCUGCGGUCAGACGGAAAGACCCCGUGCACCUUUACUGUAGCUUUGCGCUGGUAUUCGUGACUGUUUGUGUAGAAUAGGUGGGUUCAGAACGUCGUGAGACAGUUCGGUCCCUAUCUGCCGUGGGUGUUGGAAUGUUGAGAGGAUUUGCCCCUAGUACGAGAGGACCGGGGUGAACGUACCUCUGGUGGAGCUGUUGUCGCGCCAGCGGCAGUGCAGCAUAGCUAUGUACGGACGGGAUAACCGCUGAAAGCAUCUAAGCGGGAAACCCACCUCAAAACGAGCAUUCCCUUGAGAACCGUGGAAGACCACCACGUUGAUAGGCCGGAUGUGGAAGUGCAGUAAUGCAUGUAGCUUACCGGUACUAAUCGUUCGAUUGGCUUGAUUGCUCUCAUUUU
Molecule: ribosomal RNA, 2423 nt
Filed under: Bradyrhizobium sp. G22
Lineage: Bacteria; Pseudomonadati; Pseudomonadota; Alphaproteobacteria; Hyphomicrobiales; Nitrobacteraceae
Description: LSU rRNA
Rfam family: Bacterial large subunit ribosomal RNA
Source: RNAcentral